This 3653-nucleotide long non-coding RNA is filed under the name Salmo salar (Atlantic salmon). RNAcentral describes it as "lncRNA (ENSSSAG00000111859.1)". Lineage: Eukaryota; Metazoa; Chordata; Actinopteri; Salmoniformes; Salmonidae. The record is from RNAcentral.
UUGUAAGAGGGUGUUAGUUGGAUGCCUUUAAUAAAAUGAUUCUUAAAUAACUAUGUGGAACAUAGCUUAUUCACUGCUAUUAACAGAUUUGACAUAAAAGGACCUGAAAGCGUGUUUGAUUUAUUUUGUACGCUAAUGAUAUCUCUUCCUGCUGUACAUUAGGGGUGGCAAGUAGCCUAGUGGUUAGUUAGAGCGUUGGGCCAGUAACCGAAAAGUUGAUGGAUCAAAUCCCCGAGCUGACAAGGUAAAAAUCUGUCGUUCUGGCACUGUUCCUCCGGUAGGCUGUCAUUGUAAAUAAGAAUUAGUUCUGUCUAGUUAAAUAAAGGUUAAACAUUUUGUUUUUUAAAGAUUCUGAAAUGCAGAAAGAAAUAGGGUAGUUUGAGUUAACCAAUAGCUUUUCACUGCAAUAGUCAUUUCAUAGUGCUUAAUAAAUCCUCUUUGGGCUAGACGUGCUGCUAGCAACCCACCUCGACAACAUCCGGUGAAAUUGCAGAGUGCGAAAUUCAAAUUACAGAAAUAGUAACAUUUAACAUUCAUGAAAAUACAAGUGUCAUACAUCAGUUAAAAGCUUAACUACUUUUUAAUCCAGCCGCUGUGUCAGAUUUCAAAAAGGCUUUACGGCGAAAGCACUCCAUACGAUUAUCUGAGGACAGCGCACAGCACACAAAAGCAUUAGAAACAUUUUCCAACCAGGCAGAUGCGCCACGAAAGUCAGAAAUAGCGAUAAAAUAAAUGCCUUACCUUUGAAGAUCUUCUUCUGUUGGCACUCCAAAAGGUCACCGCUACAUCACAAAUGGUCCUUUUGUUUGAUAAAGUCCUUCUUUAUAUCCCCUAAAACUCAGUUAAGCUGGUGCGCUUCAUUCAAUAAUCCACCGGUUUCCCUCCUUCAAAAUGCAUACAAAAUGAAUCCCAAACGUUACCAAUAAACUUCUCCAAACAAGUCAAACAACGUUUAUAAUCAAACCUCAGGUACCCUAAUAUGUAAAUAAGCAAUACAAUUUAAGACGUAGAAUCCUUAUUGUCAUUACCGGAGAUAAACAACAAAGUACGCGCAUUCACCAGAACGCGUAACAAACUACUGCCAAAAUGGGAGCCACUUAGAAAAACUACAAAUUCUAGUUCAUUUUUCCAAAAACAAACCUGAAACUCUUUCUAAAGACUGUUGACAUCUAGUGCAAACCCUAGGAACUGCAAUCUGGGAGGUUUUCCCUUCAUAUUAAAAAUGACAGCCAUAGGAAUCAAUGGUGGGCUGAAUUUGUUUGUUUUUUUGUAGAUGGUUUGUCCUCAGGUUUUUGCCUGCCAUAUCAGUUCUGUUAUACUCACAGACAUUAUUGUAACAGUUUUAGAAACUGGAGAGUGUUUUCUAUCCAAAUCUACCAAUUAUUUCCAUAUCCUAGCUUCUGGGCCUGAGUAACAGGCCGUUUACUUUGGGCACGCUUGUCAUCCAGACAACAAAAUACUGCCCCCUAGCCCAAAGAGGUUUUAAUCAUGUGGACAAGUAUCCUGCUUCUAUUUUGGAUAAAAUGGGGGUCAUGUUAGCAGUAACUGCAUAAAGUUACUUUGAAACGAAGCUAAAUAAAAGCUAAAUUAUUUUCUCAGUUCCACGCUGUGAGCAGUUACUGCCUUUUUGCUAGGGCAGAAUAGUCAUUUUAUUUCCGAAUACAUUUGUAGUUUUGCAUAAAAUAAAUGCCAGUAAACCAUUACUAUUCCAUUCUAUUUCAUUUGAUUGAAGUGUAAUGAACACAUCUGAUUGUCCAGCUUUUAGGACACUAUUUGUUGGACAUGACAAUUGGUAGGCUGACACAUCAGCCAAACAGAGUUUUCUACUGUGUUUUGGGUCCCCUGCCAUAUAAAAUGAGACUUGGCAUAAUUAUACAAAUAAUAAUAGAACUAUCAUAACAUCUGUGAUGCUGAGAAUAAAAUAGGGCCAGAAGACUCUCUGGCUGUAGCUGAGAUGUGACAUCACCGCUUCCCAACACAGACCAGGCAGUCAGACCAGGCAGUCAGAGACCAGGCAGUCAGACCAGGCAGUCAGACCAGGCAGUCAGAGACCAGGCAGUCAGAGACCAGGCAGUCAGAGACCAGGCAGUCAGAGACCAGGCAGUCAGAGACCAGGCAGUCAGAGACCAGGCAGUCAGACCAGGCAGUCGGGGAAAGACUAGGUGGUGUACCUGUGGGGUACCGACAGAGACCGACAGACAGACAGAAGUAGAGGCAGCAGCAUGGUGCUCUGGGCUCUAGUCUUUGUAAAUUGCCUCUGGUUAUAUUCGCUGGUGUUUUUUAAAACAGCGAAGAUGAAUAGUUAAUGUUUCCUGUUGAUGUUAGUUUUCAUAAAACCUAAUUGCCUGCUGUGCACCAAAGACAAGUUUUGAGGAAUUUGUUUCAAUGUCUGGUAGUGAUGCAGUCAUAUGAAUGUCCUUAGGUGGUUUAUUGUAGGAUGAAAUGCACAGUUGUGGCCAGUUUCCCAGACACUUUCCAAGGAGGUACUCAUUGAGCUUGCUUUUUAGCCUCGGACUAGACUUGAUCUGCGUCCAGGAAAACCUUCACGUACAGUUUGUUUCAUUGAGUUCAUUUCUUGACACUGAUGAAGACAACCUUUUGUGGAGGUCUCUCUUUCUGUGCAGCUUAGGCCUUGUACUGGCCAGACAGACUGGUCAAGAUCAGUUUGCCAACUUGGAAGACACUGAUUGUCUCUGUGUAGCCUAUUGCUAUAGUCAGUGAGUGCAUCCCAAAUGGCACCCUAUUCCCUAUAUAGGGCAUUUGGAAAGUAUUGAGACCCCUUCCCUUUUUCCACAUUUUGUUACGUUACAGCCUUAUUCUAAAAUUGAUUAAAACAUUUAAAAAAAAUCCUCAUCAAUCUACACACAAGACACCACAAUGACAAAGCAAAAACAGGUUUUAAGAUUUUUUUUUGUGUGUGUUUCAUAUAUAUAAAAAGAUACUGUAUUUACAUAAGUAUUCAGACCCUUUGCUAUGAGACUCGAAAUUGAGCUCAGGUGCAUCCUGUUUCCAUUGAUCAUCAUUGAUGUUUCUACAACUUGAUUGGAGUCCACCUGUGGUAAAUUCAAUUGAUUGGACAUGAUUUGGAAAGGCACACACCUGUCUACAUAAGGUCCCACAGUUGAUGGUGCAUGUCAGAGCAAGAACCAAGCCAUGAGGUCGAAGGAAUUGUUGAGGAUUGUGUCAAGGCACAGAUCUUUAACUCUACCUACAUGUACAUUUUACCUAAAUUACCUCGACUAACCAGUGCCCCCGCACAUUGACUCUGUACCGUAACACCCUGUAUAUAGCCUCUACAUUGACUCUGUACCGUAACACCCUGUAUAUACCCUCCACAUUGACUCUGUACCGUAACACCCUGUAUAUAGCCUCCACAUUGACUCUGUACCGUAACACCCUGUAUAUAGCCUCUACAUUGACUCUGUACCGUAACACCCUGUAUAUAGCCUCUACAUUGACUCUGUACCGUAACACCCUGUAUAUAGCCUCCACAUUGACUCUGUACCGUAACACCCUGUAUAUAGUCUCCACAUUUGUUAUUUUACUGCUGCUCUUUAAUUAUUUGUUCAUUUUAUUUUAUAUUUUUUACUUUACAUAUUUUUUUCUAAACGGGAUUGUUGGUUAAGGGCUUGUAAGUAAGCAUUUCACUGUAA